GCUCAAGAAAUGGCAAAAAAGACAAAAAAAAAAAAAAAAAAAAGACACGAGAGGUUUGUGGGACAAUGUCAGUGGGUUCACUGAUUGUAUGACUCAAUUCUCAGAAACUGAGGAACGAGGGAACAAAGUAAUACUUGAAGGGAUGAAUGGUUAGGAAUGUUCCCCAACUGAUGAAAAAUACCCAUCCACAAACCUCAGAAGCUCAUUGAAUCCCAGUGAAGACAGAUACAAAGACAAUCUUGCCCUGGACAGCACAGCAAAACUGCUGAAAAGCCAAAAAUUAUAAACACCAAAGCACAAGAGCAGCUAUAGAAAAAUGGGUUCAGGAGAAAGAAUUCUCAGAAACACAGGAGACCAAAUGGCAAAACCCAGCCUCUUCAGAGGAGGAAAGAAAAAACACGUCUACCCAGAACCUUACGUCCUGCACAAACACCCUUCAAUAAUGAGCCGAAGAAAGACAUACUCAGCCAAGAGUCCGUUCCCAUUUGACCCACAUAAAUGCUACGAGGAGAUCUUCGGAGAAGGGAGCUCAGGAGGGGAAGGACAAACGUGUGGCUAAGUGUACAGGCUUAGCAGAUUUCCAGGCGGAUGGAGAGACAUUCUCUGACAGCUGAAAGCUAAGAGUGAAGAUCUGACAGCAUAGCUGGAAACUGCGUGUUCAAAAUGGCUACAUCUGGAUACAAAAAAAAAAAAAAUCAAGUUCUUCAACAGGAAUUAUUACGGAUGCAAGGAAUGCAAAAGAAAUGUGGAAAACUAGAGAAGGAUA
Non-coding RNA from Sus scrofa (pig), 766 nucleotides. The record is from RefSeq and is a predicted model, not a curated record. NCBI's taxonomy places the organism in Eukaryota, Metazoa, Chordata, Mammalia, Artiodactyla, Suidae.